RNAcentral lists this ribosomal RNA (274 nucleotides) under uncultured bacterium. RNAcentral's name for it is "partial 16S ribosomal RNA". It matches the Rfam family "Bacterial small subunit ribosomal RNA", at positions 523 to 796 of the family's 1533-position model. The record is from RNAcentral.
AUACGGAGGGUCCAAGCGUUAUCCGGAUUCAUUGGGUUUAAAGGGUCCGCAGGCGGGAAAAUAAGUCAGUGGUGAAAGCCUACAGCUCAACUGUAGAACUGCCAUUGAUACUGUUUUUCUUGAGUAUAGAUGAAGUGGGCGGAAUAUAUCAUGUAGCGGUGAAAUGCAUAGAUAUGAUAUAGAACACCGAUUGCGAAGGCAGCUCACUAAACUAUUACUGACGCUCAGGGACGAAAGCGUGGGGAGCGAACAGGAUUAGAAACCCCUGUAGUCC